CAUCCUUCAAAGAUAUUCAGGUUUAGUUUUUAGUGACGUGUCGUGAUAAACGUUUCUAGGUGAGCGUGUUAAUGCUGAAACAUCUAAAGCAGCUCUGUGUGAUCAUUCAGUGGUGUGUGAACCAACACCGCAUGGAGACAACACUAACACCGACACACGACACGACACAGGUGACAUUUCUUAUAGCUUUAUAAAUCAUAAUAAAUACUGUGCUGAUAACGGUAUUGAUUAAUGAUCAGAUCUCUACAUCGGACAGUGAUCGGUUUGGGAUCGGCUUUGGGUUUGUGCGCACUUCUGAUUUUCUGUCUCACUUAUUUCUUACUGAGGAGAAGAAAAGGUGAUAAAAUGAAUUCUUCAGAAAAGAAGAAAUCACAUUUUGACCCUUUGACUUAUGCAGCAUUGCAGAGAAGUGAAUUUUACUUGUCAGACAAUUUGGUGUACUCCGAAGUGAUGUAUAUGAAACUGUAAUAUAUUAAAUAACUGAUACUACUACUACUACUA
Tachysurus fulvidraco (yellow catfish) is the source of this 501-nucleotide long non-coding RNA. RefSeq lists it as uncharacterized. The transcript is spliced from 3 exons. NCBI's taxonomy places the organism in Eukaryota, Metazoa, Chordata, Actinopteri, Siluriformes, Bagridae. The record is from RefSeq and is a predicted model, not a curated record.